RNAcentral lists this unclassified non-coding RNA (384 nucleotides) under Ficus politoria. Its description in RNAcentral is "partial contains external transcribed spacer and 18S ribosomal RNA". Lineage: Eukaryota; Viridiplantae; Streptophyta; Magnoliopsida; Rosales; Moraceae. The record is from RNAcentral.
CACAUGCAUGGCUUAAUCUUUGAGACAAGCAUAUGACUACUGGCAGGAUCAACCAGGUAGCAUUCCUUCUCGACUUCGGUCCCGCAUCGAUGCCGCGGGCCUGGACGGCCUGCGGUCAAUGGGGUACCAAGAGUCGUUCUUAUCGAGGGACUCGAUUGGAGCAACAGGAGGCCGAGACCCCCCCACGUCCGCUUAAUUUUCCACAUCCGGGAGCACGAGCAGUUGUCCUGCGGACCGAGACAGCCACAACAAGAGUCAGUGGACAUGUCCGGGACACGGGGACUGCUUUCGAGGUCCGCAUUGCAGCCGCAAAGCCACAAGGAGGACAGGUGCGGGGCUGCCUGACGAAUUUUUCCAUACGAUGGGAAGGCAACACAGGAACCA